AUGUUUAUUCGAGCUGUUUGGAUAGAAAAUACAGAGAAAUAAAGAGAGAAAAUUCGCUUGAUAAUUUUUUGUGCUGGCCAUCAUUAAAUGUAAUAAAUUGUUUCAAUGAAAUGCAUAAACCGCAUCUAACGAACAGAGAUUUACGCUGCUCAAAAUUAAAUGUCAUGGAGAUAAUGAGCCACUACCAUGCUUAUGCAAGAGAAAACAUAAUAACCAACAGAAUAGUAAGCAAAUACCUACUCCUGUAACGCAAAAAAAGAAACAGAAAACAAUUUUUAUGCAUACUCCACAUACUGUAGCUCAAGGUUAACAAACUUUCCUAAAUUGGAAGUAAAACCAUUGAGACAAAUACAAAUAAAUGUGAUGCAAAGGUUUGUUAAAAGUAGUUUUAAAUAAAAAAUCUUUUGAAUCUUUUUAUUAUAGUUUGUUUUAAACUUGUGUUAAAAAUAUGUGUAGCAUAUA
This is a long non-coding RNA of Hydra vulgaris (swiftwater hydra), 462 nucleotides long. RefSeq lists it as uncharacterized. The record is from RefSeq and is a predicted model, not a curated record. Lineage: Eukaryota; Metazoa; Cnidaria; Hydrozoa; Anthoathecata; Hydridae.